UGCUUCGUAGGUAUACCGCGGAGCGUUUAACGGAAUGUACUACUGUUAAAACAGCGGUUUAUUUAACUUCUCGUACAUCUAUUUCGUUCAUUAUUUACCGAAAGAAGUUACCGAAAGUAUUAAGUUUGAAGUUUUCACCAUUAUAAAGAGAGCAACCAUCAAAAUUAUUGAAAGAUUCGGUUUUUGACAUUAUACGUAGCGACGCAAUUCAGAUGCAACCAUCCCGAGAUCAAAAUUAUAAAUUAUUGAAAUGUUCAUUUUAAAUUAUCUUAUGUUUCUCGAGCGUUACGAUUUUCGUAAAGUUUAAGCGAAUAUACAAUCCAUUAAAUAUUCCGAUCAUGAAAAUAAUUCAUCUAUCGAUUAUACAUUAUUUCUAUUACGACAUCAAGUUGAAGUGCUAUAAAGGUUACUAGAAUAAUAAUAAUAUUCAGUUAAUCGAAUUACCAAGAAAAAUGAUACAAAUUCUUCAUUCUUUCAGUAGAAAAAUCAAAAGCACAGAAUGAUUUAUAUUUUGAUAUUCUUCCGUAUUUAUCCUUUGCGCUCGGCGUCCUCUCGGACGUUAGUUAGCAACAACACGACGACAAUUUGUAGCGCAAGAU
Vespula pensylvanica (western yellowjacket) is the source of this 599-nucleotide long non-coding RNA. RefSeq lists it as uncharacterized. The transcript has 3 exons. The record is from RefSeq and is a predicted model, not a curated record. NCBI's taxonomy places the organism in Eukaryota, Metazoa, Arthropoda, Insecta, Hymenoptera, Vespidae.